Molecule: ribosomal RNA, 542 nt
Filed under: uncultured bacterium
Lineage: Bacteria
Description: bacterial SSU rRNA
Rfam family: Bacterial small subunit ribosomal RNA
Source: RNAcentral
AAUAGAUACCCUGGUAGUCCACGCUGUAAACGGUGGGUACUAGGUGUGGGGUCCAUUCCACGGGUUCCGCGCCGUAGCUAACGCUUUAAGUACCCCGCCUGGGGAGUACGGCCGCAAGGCUAAAACUCAAAGGAAUUGACGGGGCCCCGCACAAGCGGCGGAGCAUGCGGAUUAAUUCGAUGCAACGCGUAGAACCUUACCUGGGUUUGACAUGGAUCGGGAGUGCUCAGAGAUGGGUGUGCCUCUUUUGGGGUCGGUUCACAGGUGGUGCAUGGCUGUCGUCAGCUCGUGUCGUGAGAUGUUGGGUUAAGUCCCGCAACGAGCGCAACCCUUGUUCACUGUUGCCGGCACGUUAUGGUGGGGACUCAGUGGAGACCGCCGGGGUCAACUCGGAGGAAGGUGGGGAUGACGUCAAGUCAUCAUGCCCCUUAUGUCCAGGGCUUCACGCAUGCUACAAUGGCUGGUACAGAGAGUGGCGAGCCUGUGAGGGUGAGCGAAUCUCGGAAAGCCGGUCUCAGUUCGGAUUGGGGUCUGCAACUCCG